Molecule: long non-coding RNA, 17609 nt
Filed under: Populus tremula
Lineage: Eukaryota; Viridiplantae; Streptophyta; Magnoliopsida; Malpighiales; Salicaceae
Description: long non-coding RNA (PTRE_LNC000503)
Source: RNAcentral
AAGUGACAGAGAUCAAUCCACCUUUGACGAGUUCUAUUCAGAAAUGCCUUGGUUAGCCCUUCCAUUUGGUGAUGGAAGGAAACAAAUCCUGAGUCGGAAAUUCAAAAUUCAAGGCAUUCCUGCAGCUGUAGCGAUUGGCCCAAGUGGCCGGACCAUUACCAAGGAAGCUCGGAUGCACCUGACAGCUUACGGGGCAGAUGCUUUUCCAUUUACCGAGGAACAUCUAAAGCGAUUGGAGGAGGAGCUUGAGGAAAAGGCAAAGGGGUGGCCAGAGAAAGUGAAACACGAACUUCAUACUGAGCAUGAGCUGAUACGUACUAAACGCAGUGCAUAUGGUUGCGAUGGCUGUGGGGAAACGGGAUAUCGGUGGUCUUUCUAUUGCAAUCAAUGUGACUUUGAUCUUCACCCCAAGUGUGCUCUGAAGGAAGAUGAAGAUGCUGGAACUGAAAAGGGAAAGGAAGGAUGGGUCUGCGAUGGAGAUGUGUGCCGCAGAGCUUAAGCAGGCAAGCGCUGCUUGUGUCUGGUUUUAUGGGCUUUCUGCUGUAUUAAGUAUGCAAUGGAAGAUGUUUGUUGCAUGUGUGUGAAUAUAGUGGGGAUGUCUCUCCUGUUAUCGUUAUGUAUCUAAGAUGUGUGAAGCUGAAGGGUUUUCAUGUCCUGUAUUUGGAUACUAAAAAUAAAUAAACAGCUCUGUGUGUUUAUGCGAAUCCUGUGACCCAUUUGGAACUUGGGAAAAUCCAUGGUUGAUGGUUGUUCUCAAAGCUCAAUCACUUGUUAUGAGGUUUUUGUCAUUCCUAAACGAAAAUGCUGUGCAUGAUGCCAUUGUGCCGCUCUCUUUGUUUCUAUUUGGCUGGGUGAAGAAACAGCCUCACCUCUGGAGCAAAUAUUCCUGUUAUUGUAUUGCUGAUUAAAUACAAAAACUGGGCUGAUUGUGACUUAACCAACAUUAUACAAUGAAACCAUUGUAACUCCACCGUAAAAGAAACAAGAAUUUCCAAUCCAAGCAACUGGAUAGUCAUUUCCCCCCCUCGUUGCCUUCUCACAUUACUUGUUGAGACGGAUUUCAGAAUCAAGAAAGCAGCAUUAAUUCGAACUCAGAACUAAGAAAGACAAAUGAAAUCCCAGCAGGUGGAAACUGGGUUCAUGGCAGUUAUUUGGAGGGUGGACACCUGCGUUUGUUGAUGAACAUGUCUGCAAUCAAUGAAAACCAGAACCACGGGCAGGCUAUUGCCUGUAUCAGUUCAUGGGACGCAAAGGACAGAUAGGAUUAGUGGUGAGCUUGGAGAAGUUAGCAAAGCCAACAACUACACCUCGCAGAACAGGAAAAGAUUUCCGUAAAUUUAAUGCUUUUCUACAAGAAUGUUUGGUUGCCUAUUUUUAAAAAAAAAAAAUUAUAUAAAUAACUUCUGGGUUGGCAUAGACACCUCAGGUUUUGGCACAGCUGCAAAAAACAAGUUGGAACUCUUACAUCCCUAUUGGUAGGUGAUGGAUUAUAAAUAAGGUUUAGUUUUGGUACUUUGACAUCCCUCGUGGACAAAACGAUUCUGAAUGGUUGAUAAUUUGGAAUGAAAGAUUUUCAGUACAAUUAUCAACACUCAACAAACUAGUAAUACCCUAUUAAUUCAUAACUAACUUGGAAAAAAAAAUUAAAUAUAAAAUUAUUGGAUCAAUCUGUAUAUUUUUUAUAUUAAAACAAUAACGUUUUAUUUUAUUUUUAUUUAAUCUUUACAGGAUAAUCACUCAGUUGAUUUAACCAUGUUAUUAAAAGAAUUUAAUUAAUAUAUUAUUUGAUUUAAUUAAAAUCUCAAAAAUUAUUAUACUUGAUAUCUUAAGUUUUUGAGACCAAUGAUUUCUACAUAGUGGUACAAUUAGCAUACUCUGCUCAUUGCAUUACAACAACAUUUUAAAAAUAAAAUGUUAAAAUUAAGAAUAAUUAAUUUUGAAAUUUUAUGUGAACAAUAAUUGUGUGGGGGUGUCAAUAGCAUCAUAUUUGUUUCCUGAAGUAAAUUAUAAUUGAAUCCUCAUAUUUUCCAUAAACCAAUAUGUUAGCCCUUCUGUUUUUUAAAAAACUAAAAGGCUACUCAAUUGAGAAGCUUCGACCGUCAAGCCGUUAUUAGAUAUUCUUUUAUACUAAUACCUAAAGUAACGGUUUAGCACUUUUAUAAUGUAAAACUAAAGGAAGAACUAAGGAGGUAAAAUAUGGCUUCUUUUAAAUAAAGGGAGUGAGCUAUUAAUUUCUUAAAACUAUAGGGACUACGUUAUAAUUUGAUCAAUUUGUUAUGAUGAAUUUAAAGUGCCACACGUGAUUUUUUUUUUUAAUUAAUGUGGGUGUCCGGACCAGCUUGCGCACACCUUAACUAAUCCAACGGGUCCUGAAAUUAACGACCAUGUAAGCCUACAGUUAUCAUCAUAUGAGCAACUACAGGGCUCCUGAGAUCACAAAGGGAAUAAACCUUUUAGUCCCAAGCUCUUAUAACUAGGACACUUUCUAGAUGGUUGUCACACGUUAUUUAAUUCUACAUGGUUUGGUUUUGUGUUUGCCAAUUAAUGAUCAUCAUGUUUCAUGAUGUGACAAAUAGAUUAAAAAUAUGAUGAAUGGAGCCAAACAUUAUUGGUUUUAAAUUUAAAAUUUUUUUAGUGUGUUUGAAUUUUUUUAAUAUAUUAAAUUUAAAAAUAAAUUUUUAAAAAUUAAUAUAUAUAUUUGAGUAAAAAUUAUUUUAAAACUCAACCUCUAUUAUAUUUUUAAACAUACCCUAUCAUUAGUAGUUGAGUCUUACCCUUAAUGUUUUCCAUGGAAUCUAUUAUUAUAGUCUUACAGCGUAUGUGCAAAGAUAAGGAAUAUCAUGAUAGGCAGUAAAAAAAAAAAAAAAAAAACUCUUACUAAUAUUAUAAAAACUAUGUUAUAAUUUUAUCUGAAAAUAAAAUAAAAAUUAAAUGAUAUCUAAUAAAAUAAUAUCUCAUAUAUAUUCUUAAUAACUUAAGUAUCUACUAAAAUAACAGCCUUGAUGUGUUUUUAAAUAAUUAAUUUUAACGAAAUAAAACUAAAACUCAAGGAUAAAAAUUCAAAAAUAAAAAUUCAAAUAAAAUAAAAACAAGCCAUGUUUGUGGGGCCAGGUGACUCCGCAUGCUUAUCCAAAAUGAAAGAGCCAUUUUAUUUUUUCUUUGAUAAAUGACAUAUCAUUUAUCCUUUUGAUUUUUAAAGUAAAACAAAUGACACAUGAUUGGUUACUCAAUUUUUUUUUGUCAUGGAGAAGUGGUUGAAGAAUUGGGUUAGAGUUUUUUUUUUUAUCUAAAAUUAUAUAUUUUUUAAUUUGUUUUUAUCUAUUGUCUCUAAACUAGUCCAUCAUCUAAAAAAAAAACCCUAAAAUAAUUUUAAAAUACAAAGUUUAACCUAAAAGCAAUUCUCUCAACCUCGAUUUAUCUUUUUUUGGCAAUAUAAAGCUAAAAACACAUUAUGGUAGCAUUCUUCUUGUCAAGAAGAAUACAUUGACACACAUUUUAGCUAUUUUUGCAAACAAAACCUUGUCAAUGUAUGUAUUUCUUCUCCUUUGUUAUUUUCAAUGAAUGUUUUUUUUUUUCUAAAACUCAAAACUAAAAUGUGAUUAAAAUAAAGUUUUAGAUCAAAACAUAAAUUUUUAAAGUAAAAUAGCGUGAAAUGAACAUUUCUCAAAUAAAAAAACCAUAAAUUCUUGCUACUUGUUAAUUUUGGCUCCCCAAGUCCUUAAUUUUUAUAUACAAUAAAAUAGGAUUCUAUUUUGUAAAAUCAAACAUAACUCUAAUGUAAAGACAUUUAAUUUUCCAAAAAAAAAAUUAUAGAAAACCAACCAAUAAGUCAAAUCCUCCAUUAAUAAAAUGUCAAAAAUUGAAAAAAUUUAAAAAGUGUUUGGUGACUAUAAUGAAAAAAAUUUCGAAGAAAAAACUAGAACACUAUUUUAAUCUGUGAUGUUUUGAGUUUUUGUCCACAGUGCAACAACACUAAACUAACCACAUCUCUUAGUUUUAUAUUUAAUUUAUUUUUAGAUUUUUAUGAUUCAUAAAUGAGGGAUUAUUUUAUUUUGUUAGCUUAGGUUUUAUUUUUAUAAAAUUAAUUAAAAAAUAGAUUAGGAUAUCUAGUGGAUAACCACAAAUGAAGAAAGUCAUCUACUUAACCGGAUUUAGAGCUCGUUUGUUUCUGAGACAACAUUUACAUUUCUUUUAAACACACUAAUAAUGGUGUUUGAUUACCGAUUGAAAGUAAUACAUAAAUUAUAGACCCCAUCAUUUAUAUGAGGCAGCACCUUAAUUAUAAAAAAUAUUUUUUUUUAUUGAACUUUCUUACAUGAUAGAGUAUUGCAUUUAAAAACUCUUUCUUUCUCCCCUCAAAAUAUAGGGUCUCUUUAUUGAAAUAGAGUCAUGAUGUGGCUCAAAUACACAAUAUAAAUUUAUUUAUAAUUAUUAAAUAUAUGCAAUAUCAUUAUUUUUAAAAUAAAAAAGAAAUCCAGAGUUUUAUUAUUGAAAAACUCCAUUCUUGAAAAUAUAACUAAAAAUUCUAUCAAAGUUUAGAUUUUAACUUGUCUAUUAAAUUGUAUGUAAUUAUUAUCAAGUCAUAUUUUAUAGAAAAUAAACUAGGCUAAAAAUCUAAUCCAAAAUUCUCUCGAUGUCUUUGAGAAUUUAAUUAGCAUAUGAAUUUUAUUGAGGUCUGUGUUAAAUGUUUUUUUUUUUUUCUGAGACUUAAGGAGCUUUGGAUGACUGGAGCUGGAGGUACAUUUUCAUGAUUUAUUUUUCUCAAUAAUUUUUUUUUACAGUCUUGGCCUUCAUCCUUUCCUAAGCUUCCUAUGUAAGAUGCCACGUAUAUAGUUUCUUUGCUCGUUCAUUUCAACUAUGCUUUACAUAUGAUGAUUGAUUUAUAUUAGAAAAAAAAAAUGAUAGAAAAAUUCAUUUCCAAAUGCAGCAAAACCAAAAGAGAAUAAUUUUCUAAUUAAAAAAACUAAUUAAGGAUUUUUUGUAUCAAGAAAUAUAAAGAUUUUAUUAAAGAGAUAAAAAUAAAAAAUAUAUUUAAUAACAAACUCACAAAAAAAUUAUCAAACCAUGGAUAAAACUAAAAAAAAAGGAGAUUAAUAAAAAAAACAUGUUUAAAAAAGAAGAAGCAAGAGGAGAUUUAUAGAAGCAGGUGAUCAUGCGAAUGCCACUUCAUCGGGCCUACGUCAUAAUGUCUUCGUCAUCACCCGUCACCAGCCACGCCUUGAAGCGUCGUUGUCUGAUUAGAAUAAUAAUUUCCUAGGUCGGUCGUGCAGGUAAUUUAAAGGAGCCUUAGCCUGGAAGUUCUAUCACAUAGCAACUGGGAUUGGCAAUUGUUCUAGCCUUUUGAGUAGUUCAUCACAUAGCUAGCUAUGGCCACCGAAGACGUUUCUCUCGACCUUUCAACGCUUCUUUCUUCAGCAGAGAGGGACUUUCUCAUCCGCAACAAUGGUGAUCAGGUACUGCUUCUCUGAUCUUAUUCAAGUCUUCUUCCUGUCUUAUUAUAAGUUGACGUCUUUUAAUUUUUAUAUGAACUUGUAGGUUUUUCUCGUAAUUAAGAUGAAUAUCAUGUUUAAAUUAGACUGGUAGCCUUGCUUAAGAACAAAUUUAUGACCAAUUUCUGAAGCUUUUUAUGAUUAAGAAAAAGCUCCCUUUUUUUUGUUGCUUCUCUCACUGGCAAGAGAAAGAAACCAUGAAUAAAAUUUUGAUUCGUUAAGGGCAGAUGUUUUUUUCUGAUAAUGUUCGAGAUUAAUUUUUAGGUUAAGGUCAGCAAUUUGGUUGGGAAGAUUGUGGGGUUCUACUUCUCUGGUUCGUGGUGCGGCCCAUGCCGUAAUUUCACUCCUUUGUUGGUAGAAGUCUAUGAACAGCUAUCAUCCAAAGGGGACUUUGAGGUGGUCUUCAUUUCUUCUGACAGAGAUGAUGAAUCCUUCAACACAUAUUUCUCCGAAAUGCCAUGGCUUGCUAUUCCCUUCUCUGAUACGGAGACCCGCAAACGUCUUAAGGAAGUGUUCAAAGUAAGAGGGAUCCCUAAUCUUGUCAUAAUUGGCCAAGAUGGGAAGACUUUGAACCCAGAUGUAGUUGAACUCAUCGAAGACCAUGGAAUUGAAGCCUACCAUUUACACCGGAAAAGCUUGAUGAGCUAGCUGCAAUUGAAAAGGCAAAACUGGAAUCGCAGACGCUUGAGUCAGUUUUGGUUAAUGGGGAAAAUGAUUUGUGAUUGACAAAAGUGGAUCCAAGGUAAUUUUUUUUCUGCUAACAUCGCAUGUUGUUAUUGCAUUACUUUCAAUAACUUGCUUAUUAUCUCGAAUUGAAUUCAUUAGCAAAGGAUUUUUAUCAUUCAAAUGGUUUACUCUUGAUUAGGUCCAGUGUCUGAUCUAGUUGGAAAGAACAUUCUUCUUUACUUCAGCUCAAUGGUGCCCUCCAUGUCGUGCCUUUUUACCCAAGCUAAUUGAAGCAUACCACACAAUUAAAAGAAAAGACAAUGCAUUUGAGGUGAUCUUCAUCUCAAGUGACAGAGAUCAAUCCACCUUUGACGAGUUCUAUUCAGAAAUGCCUUGGUUAGCCCUUCCAUUUGGUGAUGGAAGGAAACAAAUCCUGAGUCGGAAAUUCAAAAUUCAAGGCAUUCCUGCAGCUGUAGCGAUUGGCCCAAGUGCCGGACCAUUACCAAGGAAGCUCGGAUGCACCUGACAGCUUACGGGGCAGAUGCUUUUCCAUUUACCGAGGAACAUCUAAAGCAAUUGGAGGAGGAGCUUGAGGAAAAGGCAAAGGGGUGGCCAGAGAAAGUGAAACACGAACUUCAUUCUGAGCAUGAGCUGUUACGUACUAAACGCAAAACAUAUAUUUGCGAUGGCUGUGGGGAAACAGGAAAUAGUUGGUCUUUCCAUUGCAAAGAAUGUGACUUUGAUUUCACCCCAAGUGUGCUUUGAAGGAAGAUGAAGAUACUGGAAGUGAAAAGGGAAAUGAAGGAUGGAACUGCGAUGGAGAUGUGUGCCGCCGAGCCUAAGCAGGCAAGCGCUCCUUGUAUCUGGUUUUAUGGGCUUUCUGCUGUAAUAAGCGUGCGAUGUAAGGUGUUUGUUGCAUGUGUGUGAAGAUGUGGAUGUCUUUCCUGUUAUUGAUAUGUAAUUAAGAGGUGUGUUGCUUAAGGAUUUUCAUGUCCUGUAUCUCGAUACGAAGAAUAAAUAACCUGAUUGGCUAAGUUUAUGUGAAUCCUGUGACCCUUUUGAAACUUGGGAAUCCAUGGUUGCUGGUUGUUCUCAAAUCUCCAUCACUAGUUAUGAGGUUUCGUCAUUCCUAAAUGAAAAUGUUAUGCAUGAUGCCAUUGUGCCGCUCUCUGUGUUUCUAUUUGGCUGAUGAAGAAACAACUUUACCUCUGGAGCAAAUAUUUCGAUACCAAACUGGUUUUGUUUAAACUCUCAACCCAAUUCAAUUAUGAAAGGUUUUUUUUUUUUUGUCUGAGAAUCCCUAAUUUGCUUCCUCUCUCCUGUAGCCACAACCACCCUCUCUUUUCUCUGAAAGAUAUCGAAACUUAGCGGUGAUCUCUUCGCUCUCAAAAUUUCUCGCAACUUUCUCACCUCCCUCUUUGUUGUUGGUCUCUUUUUUAUUUUUGUCUCCUCUCCAUCUCUAGUGUAAUGUAGCCUCUCUUCUCUCUAUUUCUUUCUAUUUUUCUUAGCUUUAUUUAUUGUUAUAGAAUAAUAAAUUAUAACAUGUUUAUUUGUUAUUUGGCAAGGAUUCAAUGUUCACAAUAACUCAGAUGUUUGACAAAGCCGAUUUAUAUUAUUUAGCAGAUUUGAUAAGAUUUAUUGUCUCCUAUAUGUAUUAUUAACUGUGACCUAAUAAUUUACAUGUUAUGUUUCAAAGACACAGAAGUUUGAGGUGUUGGUUCUUAUUUCGUUGCAUGUCAAGCUCAAUAUAUUUCUCCUAACAUGUUUAUUUGUUACUUGGCAUGGAUCAUUUUUUAUGGCUUAUAUUGUCUUUUUUAUGUAGAUGUGAACAAGUUAUUUCAAAGGAAAAAACUAUAUUGACUCCUUAAUUGUGAAAUUGGAAAUUAGGGAGAUAAUUGUUGUGAUAAUUCAUGGGCGAUCAUGUAAGCAAAUGUUAUAGGAAGCUUGCUGAUUUGGAUUUGUAAUAAUACAUGCAUCGAAGUGCUAGAAAGGCCACAUAAUCUUUGCCCUUUCCUAGGCUUCAUGUGCAAGAUCCCGUGUAUAUAAGUUAAUUGUAAGUUCAUUUAAACUAGGCUUUACAAAUGGUGAUUCAUUUGUAUUAAGAAAAAAUGAAAUAAAAAUUCAAUUUCAUAUAUAAUCCAUCACCUAUUUAAUAGUGUGAUGUAAGAGUAAGAGUUCAUCUUGUUUAUGAUCCAUCACCUAUCAAUAGUGAUGUAAGAGUUCCAACUUGUUUUCUACAGCUGUGCCAAAACCUAGGGGGGUCUACGCCAGCCCAGCAGAGUCCUUCCCCCGUCGUAGGUGGUCCAUACGACCAGAGAUAGUAAGUGAUUUCAGAACAUGCCUUUUCGAAAUGUGAUCAAAAUAAAAUUUUGGAUUAAAAUAUAAAAUUUUCAAAGUAAAAUGGUGUGAAAUCAACAUUUCUCAAAUAAAAAAAAACCUUAAAUUAUUGCUAACAAUCAAUUUUGCCCCCUAAAUCUUAAAUUUUUUGUACGCAAUAAAAUACGAUUUAUUUUGUAAAAUCCAAAUAUCACCCUAAUGUAAAAACAUUUAAUUUUUCCCUCACAUAGAAGAUUAUAAAAAAACCAACCAAUAAGUCCAAAUUCUUGAUUAAUAAAAAUGUCAAAAGAUGAAUUUAAAAAAAUUAAUUAUAUUAUAAUGAAAAACAUUCAAAGAAUAGGACUAGAACAUUGUUCCAAUCCAUGAUAUUUUGAAUUUUUUGUCCAUGGUGCAACAAAACUAAACUAACCACAUCUUUUAGUUUUUUAUUUAAUUUAAUUUUAUAGUUUUAUGAUUCAUGAAGGAGGAAUUAAUUUAUUUUUUAGAUUAGGUUUUAUUUUUAUAAAAUUAAUUAAAAAAUAAAUUAGAUAGGAUAUCUAGUUGAUACCCACGAAUAAAGAAAGUCAUAUACUUAACCUGACUUGAUUAAAAAAAUUAACGAAUUUGAACAUUCGAGAGUGGAAAUUCAUUAUCUUCCUUUACUUACAAUUAUGACAAAUUGAAAUACGUCUAGAGUGUUUGAUAAAGGAUGAUGACAUAUAUGUAUAGUGCACUUUUGAGUGUGGGAAAGUCCCGUCUCAUGACAGAGUAUUGCAUUUAAAAUCUCUUUCUUUCUUCCUUGGAAAUAUAGCAGGGGUGAUUAAAAAAAAAUUGAAAAACUAAUUAAAUUAAAAAAAUAAUUUUUUUUGAAAAAACUGAACCGAGAAAAAAUAAAUUAAUUAAUUAAAAUAUUUUUAAAAAUAUCUGGUUUGAUUUUGAUUUUUUAAGUCUAAAACCGAAAAAAUAAACUGAAAUUAAUAAAAAAACCAAACUGAAAAAACUUAAACCAAACCUAUUAAAAAUUACAAAAAAAAACCCCUAAAAAUAAUAUAGUUUUUGGUUUUUAAUAUAGAUGUUUUGAUUUUACCAAAACCAAAACCGAACGAACCAAAUCCGAUCGGAUGGGUUUUGAUUUUUAAAAAAAAAAAAAUACAGUUUGGUUAUUUUUAUAGGUAAAAACCUAACCGAACUAAAAAUAAUCACCCUUGAAAUAUACAAAAAAACAUUUUAUUGAAAUAAAGUGGCUAAAAUACACUAUAUAAUUUUAUUUAUAAUUAUUAAAUAUAUGUAACAUCAUUAUUUUUAAAAUUAAAAGGAGUUGAGAGUUUUACUAUUAAAAAACUUUAUCUUGAUAGAAGGAUAAUAAGGUCUUUAGAAAGUUUGUAUCGUAGCAUACUUAUUAAAUUAUAUGUGAUUACCAUCAUGUCAAAGUAACAUAAAGAUUUUAUUAAAGAGAUAAAAAUACAAAAUAUAUUUAAUAACAAACUCACAAAAACAAAAUAUCAAACCAUGGAUAAAACUAGAAUAAAAACAUAAAAAAAGGAGAUUAAAAAAACAUUAGAAUAUUUUAAACUGAUUAGAAUAUUUUAAAAAAUAUCCAGUUUGAUUUUGAUUUUUUAAGCUUGAAACUAAAAAAUCAAACCCAAAUUAAUAAAAAAAAUAAACCAAAAAAACCGAAACAAAACUCAUUAAAAAUUACAAAAAAAACCCUAAAAACAAUAUAGUUUUUUGUUUUUAAUAUAAAAUAAUCAAACCAAAACCGAAUCAAAUCAAACCCGAAUGGUUGGAUUUUGGUUUUUUUUUUUUGUAUUUUUCAAAAUUUCAAUUUGGUUAUUUUUAUAGGUAAAAACCAAACCAAACUAAAAAUGAUUACUCUAGAAUAUAAAUUUUUUUUUGUAUUGAAAUAGAGUGGCUAAAAUACACUAUAUAAUUUUAUUUUUAAAUAUUAAAUAUAUGUAACAUCAUUAUUUUUAAAAUUAAAAGGAGUUGAGAGUUUUACUAUUAAAAAACUUUAUCUUGAUAGAAGGAUAAUUAAUAAGGUCUCUAAUAAGUUUGGAUCUUAGCCUACUUAUUAAAUUACAUGUGAUUACCAUCGUGUCAAAGUGAAAUAAAGAUUUUAUUAAAGAGAUAAAAAUACAAAAUAUAUUUAAUAACAAAAUCACAAAAAAAUUAUCAAACCAUGGAUAAAACUAGAAUAAAAAUAAAAAUAAAAAGAGAUUAAAAUAAACACCUCUCUGCGCAAGAAAUGAUAUAUUCUGUUAAAGACAAUCCUUCCCGUAGAUUGCUUUGAAUGGGUAAAUCAAUCAUUUGUCUUUGUGGAUCCGACAUUAAUCCUCUUAUACCUACUAAUUGGUGUACUUGAGAUGUAUUUCCCUAGCUCCCGAAAAGGACAUUAUAUGGACUUGAUUAUAGGGUUUUGUCAUUCUAAAAUUCAGAUUCAUUUCUUGUCGCAAAUAUUCACUUGUAGCAUACUAUAUCUUAAUAAAUUGACGUAAUUUUUCUAUCGCGUAUACAUUUUUAUAAUGAUGGUGUUUUUUCAAAAUCAAACUUUGUUGUUCAGCAUCUUGGACUAGCCAUCCUUUUGAAGAUAUUGUUAAAAGAUCAUCAAUUCCUAAUGAAAUAGAUGUAGCAGUGGUAUGUGAAUCCUGUGACCCAUUUGAAACUUGGGAAUCCAUGGUUGAUGGUUGUUAUGAGGUUUUUGUCAUUCCUAAACGAAAACGCUAUGCAUGAUUGCAUUGUGCCGCUCUCUUUGUUUCUAUUUGGCUGGAUGAAGAAACAGCUUCACCUCUGGAACAAAUAUUCCUGUAAUUGUAAUGCUGAUUAAAUACAAAAACUGGGCUGAUUGUGACUUAACCAACAUUAUACAAUGAAACCAUUGUAACUCCACCGUUAAAGAAACAAGAAUUUCCAGUCCAAGCAACUGGAUAGUCAUUUUUACCCCUCUCUGCCUUCUCACAUUACUUGUUGAGACGGAUUUCAGAAUCAAGAAAGCAGCAUUAAUUCGAACUCAGAAGUAAGAAAGACAAAUGAAAUCCCAGCAGGUGGAAACCUGCGUUUGUUGAUGAACAUGUCUGCAAUCAAUUAAACCAGAAACACGAGCAGGCUAUUGCUUGUAUCAGUUCAUGGGACGCAAAGGACGGAUAGGAUUAGUGGUGAGCUUGGAGAAGUUAGCAAAGCCAACAACUACACCUCGCAGAACAGGAAAAGAUUUCCGUAAAUUUAAUGCUUUUCUAUUUGCUUAAUUCUCGUGACACCAUAUUAUUUGAUGCCUCAAAAGAACGAAAAUAUCAUCCGUGUGAUACAUCCAAAAUUCAAGCAAGCACACUGCCAAGAAAUUCAAUUCGGCGACGUUUCAAUCAAGCACGCUGCCAUAAAGUUUGAAGCCAUUGAAAAAACCUUUGGUUCUAUGGUCCAUUAAUUAUGUUCAGCUUAUUUACUCUUUCAUGUUCUCGCAGUUUCUUCUUUUUGCCACGUUCCAUGGCUUCCCACCACUGAAUCUCAUGUGCUUUAAAUUUGCCUUCGCCAUGACAGCCACAAAACCUUAUCGAUUGUUGCAGUCUGAAAACUGUUUGUUAUUGUGGUUACUGUUGUGGUUUUAAGAAAAUUAUUUUGUAAAAAUAUUUUUAGUUGAGGUUGGUUUAGAAAAAUAUAUAUUUGAUUAAAAAUAUGGUUAAAAUUGAGGUUGAACAAAAAGUAGUUUAAUGUGUUUGGUUAAAAAAAUGUUUUUCAAAUUGAGGUUAUAAAAUAAUUAAAAAAUAUUUUUAAUUUAAAUAUUGUAGAUUUAACUACUAUUACUACAUCAUGAAAUAAAUAAUAUUUAUAUCAAAUAUUUUUUAUUAUUCCAUUAAACUAUAUGCAAUGUCAUCACAUACAAAUCUAUCCAACAAUGACUAUAUUUUUCAUGGUUUCUUAAGCACGCAACAACAAAAAUUGGAUUUUUUGUAAUGUCAUCAAGCGAUAUCCUUCUAAUUUUUUCAAUAAAACACAAUUAAAAUAAAAAUAAAAACUGAAUUUUUUUAACUGGGUCAGACCCGGCAGGAACAUAAUUGGAAUUGCGAUUAAAUUUCACAAAUGUUAUGUCAUCAUGCGAUAUUCUUCUAAUUUAUAUAGUGUUAUUAAAUAAUAUUAAAUACUAGUUUUUCGAGUAAAACUAAAUUUUUUAAAAAAAAAAAUUACAAUUUCAUUACGUACAAAAUUCAUUCGACAAGAACUACAGUUUAAUGAUUUUGUGAGCGUGCAAUAAAAUUAGAUAAAAUAUUAUCGGGAAUAAAAUUAAGAUUACAGUAUGAGUAAAUUUAAUUCACCUUUAACUAUUUUUUUAACAAAAAAAAAUAUAUUGUUCAUCUGAAUAGUGCGAGUGAAAUUAAUUAAUUGCACUGGUUUUUCAGGGAAAAAAAAACCCAAACAUUGCAUGUGAACAGUGCAAGUGAAUUAAUUCACUCACACUGGUUUUUUGAAAUUAAAAAAAAAAUUGUUCAUUUUAGUGAACAGUGGAGCCAUGCUCCAUUGUUGAUGUUAAUUUUCAGACGAGCAGCAGCUUCUCAGAAACCUAUUCAGAUGAACAAUAUAUUUUAAAAAAAAUGGAGCAGGUGAAUUAUUUUAAUCUGCUUUUUAAUCUGCUACAGUGCAUGCAAAGCAGGUUUUCAUAGCUUUUCCUUUCCAGUGUUUUAAACGCAAAAAACACGUGGGUCCCAUGCACAGUAAAAUAAUUUUUGUUAUUACCAAACGGCUGCGGACUGCGUUUUAAAUAAAACGCAUCCGCAGCCUCUUAGACAAACACCCUUUAAGUGGGUCCUACAAAAAAAACUAUUUUUUCUUACCUUACCAAACAUUAAUAGUUGUGGUUGCGGGUGAACCUCACCCGUGGCCACAAUACCAAACAUCCACUUACUAUCUCUGGCCAUCUCGUGUAUGGACCCCUCUACGAUGAAGGAAGGGCACUGUUGGGCUCUUCCCUUACAACGGGGGAAGUCGGAAGGACACUGUUGGGCUAGUAUAAACCCUCCAGGUUUUGGCAUAGCUGCAGAAAAAAAUAAUUUAAAAAAAAUAAAAAAAAAAUAUAUUAUUUUAAUAUAUUUUAGUAUGAAAAGCAUUUUGAAAAAUAAUUGUAAUCAUAUUCCCAAACAAAUAUAAAAUUAAAGGAAAAACAAAUAUAAAACUAAAAGAAGAACUAAGUUAUAGUAAAUGGAAAUGAUGACAUGGAGGUAAAAUAUGGCUUCUUUUAAAUAAAGGGAGUGAGCUAUUGAUUUCUUAAAAAUAUAGGGACUACGUUAUAAUUUGAUCAAUUUGUUAUGAUGAAUUUAAAGUGUAACACGUGAUUUCUUUUUUUUUUUUUUUUUUUAUAACUCGAGAUGUCUGGGCUAGUUUAUGCGCAUCACGACUAAUCCCCGGACUCACCGAACAUCCUGCAAGCCCUGUAAGUAGGUAAGGUACCGCGGGGUGACAAGCGUGCACAAGCAAGACUUGAACCCUGGUAUAAAGGAAGAACACAAGGCCCUUCCACUGCUGGGCUACAAGCUCAAGCGUGUAACACAUGAUUUCUAAAUGGUGGUGUUGGUGUUGUGUUUGCCUAUUAAUGAUCAUGAUCAUGAUGUUUCAUGAUGUGACAAAUAUAUUAAAAAUAUGAUGAUUUUGUUUAUAGUUAAAGCCGUGAAAUAUUAUUUGUUUAAAAUUUAUUUUUUUUUAAUGUUUUUAAUUUUUAUUUAAUGUAUUGAUGUUAAAAAUAUUUUUUUAAAAAUUAAUAUAUAUAUAUAUAUAUUAAUAUAUUUUUAUAUAAAACAUAUUUUAAAACUUAACCUCUUUUAUAUUUUUAAACAUACCCUUAGUCAAUUGUCAUUUAGUAGUUGAAUCUUACCCUUAAUGUUUUCCAUGGAAUCUAUUAUUAUUGUCUUUGACAGCGUAUGUGCAAUGAUAAGGAAUAUCACGAUAGGUUGUCAAAAAAACUCUUACUAAUAUUAUGUUAUGUGUAAUUUUAUCUGAAAAUAAAAUAAAAAUUGAAUGAUGCCUAAUAAAAUAAUAUUAUAUAUAUAUAUAUAUAUUCUUAAUAAUUUAAUUAUCUACUAAAAUAACAUCCUUAUGUGUUUUUAAAUAAUUAAUUUUAAUGAAAUAAAAUUAAAACUUGAGGAUAAAAAUUCAAAAAAUAAAUAAAAUAAAAGCUAAACAUAAGCCAUGUUUGUGGGGUCAAGUGACUCAGCAUACUUAUCCAAAACAUGAAAGAGCCAUUUCAUUUUUUCUUUGAUGAAUGACACAUUGGACUUUUAUUAUUUUAUUUUUAAAAUAAAACAGAUUUGCUUACUCAAUUAUUUUUUGUUAUGGAGAAGUGGAAGAGUUAGGUUAGUGUUUUUUUUUUUUUAUCUAAAAUUCUAUUUUUUUAAUAUAUUUUUAUCUAAAAACACCUCAUAAAUACUUUUAAAUUAUCUCUAAACUAAUCCAUCAACUAAAAAGAAACUCUAAAAUAAUUUUAAAAUAUAAAGUUUAACUUAAAAGCAAUUCUCUCAACCUCUAUUUAUCUUUUUUUGGCAAUAUAAAGCUCAAAAACAUUAUGGUAACACUCUUUUUGUAAAGAAAAAUAUAUUGACACACAUAUGAGCUAUUUUCAUAAACAAAAACUUAUUAAUGUAUGUAUUUCUCUCUCCUUUACUAUUUUCAAUGAAUUUUUAUUAUUAUUUUAAAAAUUUCCAGAUUGAAAUGUUAUUAAAAUAGAGUUUUGGAUCAAAACAUAAAUAUUUUGAAAUAAAAUGGUGUGAAAUGAACAUUUCUCAAAUAAAAAAACUUUAAAUUCUUGCUAUAUGUCAAUUUUGACUCUCCAAGUCCUAAAUUUUUAUAUGCAAUAAAAUAGGAUUCUAUUUUGUAAAAUCAAACAUAAGUAUAAUGUAGAGACAUUUAAUUUUCCAAAAAAAAUAAAAAUAAGGAGCCUUAGCCUCGAAGUUCAUCGGACCUACGUCAUAAUGUCUUCGUCAUUACCCGACACCAGCCACGCCUUCAAGUCGUCGUUGACUGAUCAGAAUAAUAAUUUCCUAGGUCGGUCGUGCAGGUAAUUUAAAGGAGCCUUAGCCUGGAAGUUCCAUCACAUAGCAACUGGGAUUGGCAAUUGUUCUAGCCUUUUGAGUAGUUCAUCACAUAGCUAGCUAUGGCCACCGAAGACGUUUCUCUCGACCUUUCAACGCUUCUUUCUUCAGAAGAGAGGGACUUUCUCAUCCGCAACAAUGGUGAUCAGGUACUGCUUCUCUGAUCUUAUUCAAGUCUUCUUCUUGUCUUAUUAUAAGUUGAUGCCUUUUAAUUUUUAUAUGAACUUGUAGGUUUUUCUCGUAAUUAAGACGAAUAUCAUGUUUAAAUUAGACUGCAAGCCUUGCUGAAGAACAAAUUUAUGACCAAUUUCUGAAGCUUUUUAAUGAUUAAGAAAAAGCUCCUUUUUUUGUGUUGCUUUUCUCACUGGCAAGAGAAAGAAACCAUGAAUAAAAUUGUGAUUCGUUAAGGGCUGAUUUUUUUCUGAUAAUGUUCGACAUUAAUUUUUAGGUUAAGGUCACAAUUUGGUUGGGAAGAUUGUGGGUUCUACUUCUCUGGUUCGUGGGCGCCCAUGCCGUAAUUUCACUCCUUUGUUGGUAGAAGUCUAUGAACAGCUAUAUCCAAAGGGACUUUGAGGUCUUCAUUUCUUCUGACAGAGAUGAUGAAUCCUUCAACACAUAUUUCUCCGAAAUGCCUGGCUUGCUAUUCCCUUCUCUGAUACGGAGGCCCGCAAACGUCUUAAGGAAGUGUUCAAAGUAGAGGGAUCCCUAUCUUGUCAUUUUUGAUUGCGAAUGGCAAGGUUCCUGCGAUGAUGGAUCAGCACUGUCAAGGAACAUGGCGUGGAUGGGUAUCCGUUCAACCUUGAUAGACUGAAUUUCCUGAAAGAGCAAGAAGAGAACGCUAAGAAGAAUCAAACAUAAGCUCUAUCUUGGUUUCAAGCUCACGUGAUUAUGUGAUUUCAAAUGAUGGAAAAAAGGUUAGAUGGUUCAUUCAAUUAGCUAGUUUUGAAAUUGAAUUGAUGAUGCCAUCAUUCACUUUUUGCCUUUUUGGCUAUCUGUAAUGGCAGAUCCCUGUGUUGGACCUUGAAGGAAAAUUGGUUGGCUUGUAUUUCUCAAUCCAUGCUCAUAGGAUGUGCCGUGAAUUCACUCCUAAACUAGUGAAUUACAAGCGCUCAAGGAAAAAGAGAGAACUUUGAAGUAGUCCUAAUAUCUCUAGACGAGGAAAAACACUUCAAAGAGAGUUUUGAGACAAUGCCUUGGUUGGCAUUGCCGUUUAAGGACAAGAGCUGCGAGAAGCUAGCGCGGUAUUUUGAACUUAGAACCAUUCCUAAUCUUGUCAUAAUUGGCCAAGAUGGGAAGACUUUGAACCCAAAUGUAGUUGAACUCAUCGAAGACCAUGGAAUUGAAGCCUACCCAUUUACACCGGAAAAGCUUGAGAGCUAGCUGCAAUUGAAAAGGCAAAACUGGAAUCGCAGACGCUUGAGUCAGUUUUGGUUAAUGGGGAAAAUGAUUUUGUGAUUGACAAAAGUGGAUCCAAGGUAAUUUUUUUGUUCUUGCUAACUCGCAUGUUGUUAUUCAUUACUUUCAAUAACUUGCUUAUUAUCUCGAAUUGAAUUCAUUAGCAAAGGUAUUUUUAUCAUUCAAAUGGUUUGCUCUUGAUUAGGUCCCAGUGUCUGAUCUAGUUGGAAAGAACAUUCUUCUUUACUUCUCAGCUCAAUGGUGCCCUCCAUGUCGUGCCUUUUUACCCAAGCUAAUUGAAGCAUACCACACAAUUAAAGAAAAGCAAUGCAUUUGAGGUGAUCUUCAUCUCAAGUGACAGCGAUCAAUCCACCUUUGACGAGUUCUAUUCAGAAAUGCCUUGGUUAGCCCUUCCAUUUGGUGAUGAAGGAAACAAAUCCUGAGUCGGAAAUUCAAAAUUCAAGGCAUUCCUGCAGCUGUAGCGAUUGGCCAAGUGGCCGGACCAUUACCAAGGAAGCUCGGAUGCACCUGACAGCUUACGGGGCAGAUGCUUUUCCAUUUACCGAGGAACAUCUAAAGCAAUUGGAGGAGGAGAUUGAGGAAAAGGCAAAGGGGUGGCCAGAGAAAGUGAAACACGAACUUCAUACUGAGCAUGAGCUGAUACGUACUAAACGCA